Syngnathus acus (greater pipefish) is the source of this 92-nucleotide small nucleolar RNA. RefSeq annotates it as small nucleolar SNORD12/SNORD106. The record is from RefSeq and is a predicted model, not a curated record. The transcript has a single exon. NCBI's taxonomy places the organism in Eukaryota, Metazoa, Chordata, Actinopteri, Syngnathiformes, Syngnathidae.
AGUGUGGUUAAUGAUGUAUGGGUCUUUCCCCGACUUAUCGACUAUGAUGAUACAAUCCUUACUUUAAGCCAAAUUUGUUCUGAAACCACACA